ACAAAGGCUCUUUUCAGAGCCACCUCCUUUCUCACUUGUAAGUCUGU
Non-coding RNA from Mesocricetus auratus (golden hamster), 47 nucleotides. The record is from Rfam. NCBI's taxonomy places the organism in Eukaryota, Metazoa, Chordata, Mammalia, Rodentia, Cricetidae.